UGGAAGAAUUUGAAGACGUCAACUUGCAGACGUGAAGAAUUUGAAGACUUCAACUUGCAGACUUGAAGAAUUUGAAGACUUCAACU
Molecule: microRNA precursor, 86 nt
Filed under: Solanum tuberosum (potato)
Lineage: Eukaryota; Viridiplantae; Streptophyta; Magnoliopsida; Solanales; Solanaceae
Description: MIR8024 microRNA precursor family
Rfam family: MIR8024 microRNA precursor family
Source: Rfam by way of RNAcentral